UCAAGGAAGGAAGGAAGGAAAUCAUUAUUCGUUCCCAAAGUAGUCCCAAUGAACAAAACCGGAGGGACUCCACUCUUUUGCGGACCAGCCAAGAACCUAGACCGGGUUUCACUUUCACAUCUCUGGAAGUUGAGCUUUUUUUCAAAGUAUAUUCCACCCCUUGUUCUGGUGAAUCAGAGUGUCACUCUACAGUUCUGUAGGGCUGCGUGAACAGAUUACAUGAUAUCUUCUUCCUCUGAUGAAAGAAUAUGAUCUGCUGUAGGCUACAGCGGAGGUGGUUGAGGACCAGAACACGCAUCCAUCAAGGCGGGAGCGCGCAUUGUGAAGAGGCGGGGCAGCGGGAAUAUCUCUUUCCGGAUAUUUACCUCCACCUGCCCGCGCGACGCGCCCAGUUCCAAGGUUUUUAACAGCGGUAGUAUCAACGGACAUGACAAAGUUCCCAAAUCCAGGACUACUGAGGUUGUGGAGAGAUGGACUGAGGGUUGUGUGUGUGUGUGAGUGAGUGACGCGUAAUUCAGAGUGAAAAGACACAGAGAGACGUGACAGUCCCGCGUCCCAUUGUGACAUAGUUACGCUGCUCUGAGACCAGUCUGCAGGGGGGAACACACAGCCAUAACGGGUACCUCCCCAACAGUUCCAACCAACGCAGCUCUGAGACCAGUCUGCAGGGGGGAACACACAGCCAUAACGGGUACCUCCCCAACAUUCCCAACCAACGCGGCUCUGAGACCACUGUCUGCGGGGGAAACACGCAGCCAUAACGGGUACCUCCCCAACAUUCCCAACCAACGCAGCUCUGAGACCAGUCUGCAGGGGGGAACACACAGCCAUAACGGGUACCUCCCCAACAUUCCCAACCAACGCAGCUCUGAGACCAGUCUGCAGGGGGGAACACACAGCCAUAACGGGUACCUCCCCAACAUUCCCAACCAAUGUGGCUCCACAUACUCGUCCCUCUAUUGAUUUGAAUGUGUUGACAGUUGGAGAAAUAGCUUGAGCCGCAUUGAGAAUUAGAAAAGUAUGAAAGCCAAUGGUCCAAUAUUCUAGAAUACUGCUGUGCGGGGACAUUUUGGACUCUGAUAGACGUGUGUUUGUAAAAGGUUGAGUAACCCACGGUAACAGACAUGCCCAAACCUGAUCUACUCUGUUUGGUUCAACUACUGGACAACACUAUCCAGACCUUUACAGUCAACAAGCAGGAUGCAGGUGAGGUUUUACUGGAGCAGGUGUGUAACCAGCUGGGUCUGCUGGAGAGACACUUCUUCAGUCUGCAGCUACGAGACUCCAACACCACCAUCGUCACUCAAACACACUCUCCUAGGUGGUUGGAGGCCAACAAACCACUGAAGAAGCAGCUGAAAGGUAAUAAACACUAAAUGAGACCUUAGCCUGAGCCCAGUGACGCCCUACUGUUUAGCCCAGUGACGCCCUACUGUUUAGCCUGAGCCCAGUGACACCCUACUGUUUAGCCUGAGCCCAGUGACGCCCUACUGUUUAGCCUGAGCCCAGUGACACCCUACUGUUUAGCCUGACCCAGUGACGCCCUACUGUUUAGCCCAGUGACGCCCUACUGUUUAGCCUGAGCCCAGUGACACCCUACUGUUUAGCCUGAGCCCAGUGACGCCCUACUGUUUAGCCUGAGCCCAGUGACACCCUACUGUUUAGCCUGACCCAGUGACGCCCUACUGUUUAGCCUGAGCCCAGUGACGCCCUACUGUUUAGCCUGAGCCCAGUGACGCCCUACUGUUUAGCCUGAGCCCAGUGACGCCCUACUGUUUAGCCUGACCCAGUGACGCCCUACUGUUUAGCCUGAGCCCAGUGACGCCCUACUGUUUAGCCUGACCCAGUGACGCCCUACUGUUUAUCCCAGUGACGCCCUACUGUUUAGCCCAGUGACGCCCUACUGUUUAGCCUGACCCAGUGAUGCCCUACUGUUUAGCCUGAGCCCAGUGACACCCUACUGUUUAGACCCAGUGACGCCCUACUGUUUAGCCCAGUGACGCCCUACUGUUUAGCCUGAGCCCAGUGACGCCCUACUGUUUAGCCUGACCCAGUGACGCCCUACUGUUUAGCCUGACCCAGUGACGCCCUACUGUUUAGCCUGAGCCCAGUGACGCCCUACUGUUUAGCCUGACCCAGUGACGCCCUACUGUUUAUCCCAGUGACGCCCUACUGUUUAGCCCAGUGACGCCCUACUGUUUAGCCUGACCCAGUGAUGCCCUACUGUUUAGCCUGAGCCCAGUGACACCCUACUGUUUAGACCCAGUGACGCCCUACUGUUUAGCCCAGUGACGCCCUACUGUUUAGCCUGAGCCCAGUGACGCCCUACUGUUUAGCCUGACCCAGUGACGCCCUACUGUUUAGCCCAGUGACGCCCUACUGUUUAGCCUGAGCCCAGUGACACCCUACUGUUUAGCCUGAGCCCAGUGACGCCCUACUGUUUAGCCCAGUGACGCCCUACUGUUUAGCCUGAGCCCAGUGACACCCUACUGUUUAGCCUGAGCCCAGUGACGCCCUACUGUUUAGCCUGAGCCCAGUGACACCCUACUGUUUAGCCUGACCCAGUGACGCCCUACUGUUUAGCCUGAGCCCAGUGACGCCCUACUGUUUAGCCUGAGCCCAGUGACGCCCUACUGUUUAGCCUGAGCCCAGUGACGCCCUACUGUUUAGCCUGAGCCCAGUGACGCCCUACUGUUUAGCCUGACCCAGUGACGCCCUACUGUUUAGCCCAGUGACGCCCUACUGUUUAGCCUGAGCCCAGUGACACCCUACUGUUUAGCCUGAGCCCAGUGACGCCCUACUGUUUAGCCCAGUGACGCCCUACUGUUUAGCCUGAGCCCAGUGACACCCUACUGUUUAGCCUGAGCCCAGUGACGCCCUACUGUUUAGCCUGAGCCCAGUGACACCCUACUGUUUAGCCUGACCCAGUGACGCCCUACUGUUUAGCCUGAGCCCAGUGACGCCCUACUGUUUAGCCUGAGCCCAGUGACGCCCUACUGUUUAGCCUGAGCCCAGUGACGCCCUACUGUUUAGCCUGACCCAGUGACGCCCUACUGUUUAGCCUGAGCCCAGUGACGCCCUACUGUUUAGCCUGAGCCCAGUGACGCCCUACUGUUUAGCCUGACCCAGUGACGCCCUACUGUUUAUCCCAGUGACGCCCUACUGUUUAGCCCAGUGACGCCCUACUGUUUAGCCUGACCCAGUGAUGCCCUACUGUUUAGCCUGAGCCCAGUGACACCCUACUGUUUAGCCUGACCCAGUGACGCCUUACUGUUUAGCCCAGUGACGCCCUACUGUUUAGCCUGAGCCCAGUGACGCCCUACUGUUUAGCCUGACCCAGUGACGCCCUACUGUUUAGCCCAGUGACGCCCUACUGUUUAGCCUGAGCCCAGUGACGCCCUACUGUUUAGCCUGAGCCCAGUGACGCCCUACUGUUUAGCCUGACCCAGUGACGCCCUACUGUUUAGCCUGAGCCCAGUGACGCCCUACUGUUUAGCCUGACCCAGUGACGCCCUACUGUUUAGCCUGACCCAGUGACGCCCUACUGUUUAGCCUGAGCCCAGUGACGCCCUACUGUUUAGCCUGAGCCCAGUGACGCCCAACUGUUUAUCCUGAGCCCAGUGACGCCCUACUGUUUAGCCUGAGCCCAGUGACGCCCUACUGUUUAGCCUGAGCCCAAUGACGCCCUACUGUUUAGCCUGAGCCCAGUGACACCCUAUU
Molecule: long non-coding RNA, 3720 nt
Organism: Oncorhynchus keta (chum salmon)
Lineage: Eukaryota; Metazoa; Chordata; Actinopteri; Salmoniformes; Salmonidae
Exons: 4
Source: RefSeq, a predicted model, not a curated record